Molecule: microRNA, 18 nt
Filed under: Bos taurus (domestic cattle)
Lineage: Eukaryota; Metazoa; Chordata; Mammalia; Artiodactyla; Bovidae
Description: bta-miR-12054
Source: miRBase by way of RNAcentral
CUGGAGGUGGGGAUGCAC